CUCUAGUUCUAGCUUGUUGCUGAAUACAUACAGCUGACUGGAGUGGGCUUCUGCCUUCUGCUGGGACUGGGAAUAAAAUGGUGUGAUUCCCUGCCAAUUUCAUCUAUCUAGUCUCCAUCCAUCCAUCCAUCUGUCUAUCCAGAGCCAAAGUCCACAGUAUGGUGCUUGAGGGGCCUAGGAGAAUAUCACACAGAGCCUACACAUGAGGCUUGCAGGUCGAGUACUCGAGUCUCCAUGGCUUCAUCCAACCUUGGCAUGCCAAGGGAGGGGAAUGAGUGAGGCCUUUGGACUUUGGUAUUACUCCCUAGUACCUAAAUUUCAUUUCUUUUCGCCAUUGGUGGCUGUGGGUGGUGCAAGUUCAACUACUUAUGUUUACACUGACAAAUUUAAUUUAUUGCAAAGUGUAAUUUUGUGCCAACAAAGUCCUAAACUACUUCAUGCAUCAUAAACAUUUUGUUUGCAUUUAUAUAUGUACAUCUAAAAUGGUUCUCAUCUCUGACUUUACAGCACAAUAAAUAAGUAAUAAAUAAAUAAGAAUAGAUAACCGUUGGGUAGUAGGAGGAGUAAGUGGUGGUGUGGUGACAACAAAAAAGAAGGGCAGGCACGCCGUCCCCUUCCCACCUCUAUAAAAUCCAGCUUCUCCCCCUUCUAGCUUCUACCUCACUCUUCCACUGUUCUCCCCACCUUAGCCGCCCACAUGCCUUUAGCAGCUUCUCCAGCCUCCUAUUCUCUUGGUGCUCAUCACCAAGAUUUGCUCAGUCCUGCUUCCAGGUCAGCUGUUUCUGCUGGCUCAGCCGUCUCCCCCGACGCCGAUCGAUCUCCAUCGAGCUUCUGAUGUGGAAAUUGUGGACGCCAUGGAGCUACCUCGGCGGGAACCAGGUUUGGUCGACGAUCGGCUAGCUCGUGUGUGCCUGGCUCCCUGUAUGCCACACAUGUAGCCCAACCCGUGGCGCGAUUGGAUGCUGUGGGUGGCGUGCAAGGAGCCAAGCAUGCAGAACACAGGCCAUGAUCAUCUCCUCCCAAUCUUCUGAUCUGCUAGUUUUUUGGGUCAUCUUGGAGAUACUGAUGCACAUAUUUCAUGCUGUUUUAUCCGUAUGCUUUCCUGUGCCUGCCCGGUUUUGAAUUGUUUCUGCAGAGGGGCAGAAUCAAGGAUUCAAUUCAGAAAGAAAGGUGGGUUGUUCCUCUUCAAGCUUGACCCAAAUCAUUCAGAGAGAGUUUGCAAAUCUCGUCAUUUCUUAUCCUAAAAAUGAAUGACACAUCUACUACUCUCGUGCUUCGUGGCCUCGAACUUGCUGAUUCUGAGUGUAAAUUUGUUUGAUUUCCCUUGAGUUCAUAGAAACAGGGCUAAGGAAAACAUUGAAACUUUGUUGGAACCGAAGCGCCGCCCCGUUCUUUGGUAGAUGUGUUGUCCAUUUGAUCACCGAUCUGAAUUAGAAAUUAGAGUUCUUUGCCUGUGCUUGUUUGAACUUAUUUUUGGGGUCUCAACCAUGUCGCCGGCCGGAAAUUUGUAGGUGUGCAAGCCAUUUUUGUAUUUUAGUUCUUGAGUUCUCGUCUGGAUUAGUGUGCAACUGAAGCGGAUGUAGCUGUCUUUCAUUUUGGGAAAACUGACACAUCCUUAAAACUUCGGCAGGAAAUGGCCAGCAGGUGUUAAUAGGUGCAACUGUGCAAGCUUCGGUUACUACUCACCAAUAAUCUGUUUGACUGAAACGGAUGUAAGCUGGACCUUCAUUAGUCCAGCUAUAUAUAUAUCCUUUUGUGCUCAAAUUAAAUACAGUAUUUCCAACUGUUCUUAAAUCAUAAAGUUUCCUCGUUCUUAUCAUAUGCUUCACAACUUUGCUUUUCCAUGAAAGUAUAGACCAUGUCUUUCGGUCUGUUCGGCUGAUCUAGUGAAUAGUAUUCGACUGAUAGAAUGAAUAGUAUUAUGUGAGAGGGGAUAAGCCGAGACAAGCCGAGAUUGGAUCAGCCGAACAACCCCUUUGUAGAAAUAACCCUUCUCUCUCCCUUUGGAUUGAAUUUAUGUGUAAACUCCUGAUAAUUUAUAAAUGGUAACCCAAACAAUAUAUAUAACUGUAGUGUAUAGUACCGGUAGGUUUUAACUAUCGAUAUGCUUUUUACUAGCUUGUAGUGACAAUCGUUCCCACAUAUAAGUUGGCGCUGUCUUUUCAAGUAUUCAAAAUCAUGCAAACAAACGUACACUAUUUGAAACAAAUGCAAACAAAUCAACAGUUUCAAAUCACAAAUGUAUAAGAUUUCCACUUUUAUAUAUGCUAAGUUAUGUUGCAAUGUACUGUGGUUUUCCAUGUUUGUACCAUGAUGAUUUUUUUUAGUAGUACCAUGAUGAUUAUUGAUACUUCCAUACAUCAAACUAAACCGUCGGUCUACGACAUAAACCACAUUGAGUUUUGUCUUGCCACCAUUACUUCUUUCUGCUCACAAAACAAGAGAGGCAUAUGCAUCCAUGUGUAUACAGAACAAUACUGUAUAUAUUUGUUUGUAUCUUUUUCUUCGAUCCAUCUUAGUAGAUGUUGUAGUGUGGACGUGGUAGCACAUGUUCUAAGUUUGUCUGGUAUAUUAUCCAAUAUAAUGGUACUCCCUGGUAAGACAGCUGAACAUACAGCCCUUUGUUUUGUAUCUUAGGCAAAAUGCUGAAUCAGAUUUAGACACUUUGUACAGUAAUAGGACCUGUUUAAGUGUUAAAUCGCUAAUGGAACAACAAAGGGUUUGCACUUUUUCAGGAAGAGGUGCCUUUUGGGACUUGAAGGAAUAAAGAGCAAAGCUACCUUUAGAGCAGCGAAGUACGGGGUACGUACUGAAACCGAUACCCCCAGACGACAGUCGACACAGGUAGAUUCUGCAGUAUCUGUAUUCUGCGUCAGACUCAAAUUCGUACACCUUGUUGGGGAAAGAAGAUCAGGUUCAGACGACGAUCUCUAAGCAUCUCUCUGCUAUCCAAGAAUCCCUAGUGAUCCUGGAUUGAAGGAAUUGAGUUUGAAGUUAACCAAGGUUCUCCCAGAGCAGCAUAUGCAUGAAGAAGUCUCGUGACAGUGUUGUGUUGAGUAGUACUGCAAGCAAAGUUUGGAGCUGAAGUGCAGGGAAGUAUGCCUCUGUUCAUGACAUGACAAUGUGUACAUAUUAAUAUCUGAAGGGAGGUGUAUUCUCGUCU
Long non-coding RNA from Panicum virgatum (switchgrass), 3163 nucleotides. RefSeq lists it as uncharacterized. Lineage: Eukaryota; Viridiplantae; Streptophyta; Magnoliopsida; Poales; Poaceae. The transcript is spliced from 2 exons. The record is from RefSeq and is a predicted model, not a curated record.